GCCUUGGCGCAAUGGUAGCGCGUUGGUUUUCGGCUUUGAACUGUCUCUGAUCACCAAAGGUUGUGGGUUCGGUACGUGGCAUUCCUAAUGGGAACCG
Molecule: transfer RNA, 97 nt
Filed under: Bipolaris maydis (southern corn leaf blight pathogen)
Lineage: Eukaryota; Fungi; Ascomycota; Dothideomycetes; Pleosporales; Pleosporaceae
Description: tRNA-Arg
Source: RNAcentral